RNAcentral lists this ribosomal RNA (429 nucleotides) under Gemmatimonadota bacterium. RNAcentral's name for it is "Gemmatimonadetes bacterium partial 16S ribosomal RNA". It matches the Rfam family "Bacterial small subunit ribosomal RNA", at positions 355 to 776 of the family's 1533-position model. The record is from RNAcentral. Lineage: Bacteria; Pseudomonadati; Gemmatimonadota.
UAGGGAAUCUUCGGCAAUGGACGAAAGUCUGACCGAGCAACGCCGCGUGAGUGAAGAAGGUUUUCGGAUCGUAAAACUCUGUUGUUAGAGAAGAACAAGGACGUUAGUAACUGAACGUCCCCUGACGGUAUCUAACCAGAAAGCCACGGCUAACUACGUGCCAGCAGCCGCGGUAAUACGUAGGUGGCAAGCGUUGUCCGGAUUUAUUGGGCGUAAAGCGAGCGCAGGCGGUUUCUUAAGUCUGAUGUGAAAGCCCCCGGCUCAACCGGGGAGGGUCAUUGGAAACUGGGAGACUUGAGUGCAGAAGAGGAGAGUGGAAUUCCAUGUGUAGCGGUGAAAUGCGUAGAUAUAUGGAGGAACGCCAGUGGCGAAGGCGGCUCGCUGGUCUGUAACUGACGCUGAGGGUCGAAAGCGUGGGGAGCAAACAGG